GCGAGGGGACGCGAUUGGUGGCUCUGCCGUGGGGCAGAAAGUGGCUGAGGGUUUCUGGGGAAAAGACGCACGGGAGGUGGAACUCAAGGGGCGGGAAGUCGGAGGACGCCAGGCGAGCGUGUUGCAGCGUGGCGUGGGAGCAGCAGAGAAAGGGGUUGGGGAAGGUGGAGAAACUGAGAACUGAACAUUGGCAUUUGAUUCACUUUAGUGUUUGCAAUCCAAAUCAGACCUAGAAAAGGAUUCCUUAAGGAGCCUUUGCGACUGCCGUGGUGGAGGUAACCGGUACCGCUGCAGAAAAUUGUCUCACUGCCAGCCUACCUGAAGGCUACAGCAAAGGGAAACCACGUGUAACCCCAGGUGCAGCUAUCCUGUAAAACACGCCCACACACACUUCAUCACCAGAUGGUAUUUAAAUGCCACCACGUACUUUCUCCUUUGUCUAAAUUUGCUUAUCAGGUUGGAUGCUAACUAGCCUCAUUUGUAAAAUAUUGGCCACUGUUCUUGUUUAAAAUCUCUGCUAGGAUACAAACUCCACUCUCUCCACCCCUCCAGUAUAGAAUGCCUAGAAACUUGCAAAAUUGCUCCUUAUUUAGUUGGGGGAAAUUAGGUAAAAUCUUGAAAUUAGAAGUUCUAUCGACAAACCAAAUGGAUAUUUCUUUAGUAACUAAUAAUCUGUAAAAGGCAU
Molecule: long non-coding RNA, 685 nt
Organism: Mastomys coucha (southern multimammate mouse)
Lineage: Eukaryota; Metazoa; Chordata; Mammalia; Rodentia; Muridae
Exons: 2
Source: RefSeq, a predicted model, not a curated record